RNAcentral lists this ribosomal RNA (429 nucleotides) under Acidobacteriota bacterium. RNAcentral's name for it is "Acidobacteria bacterium partial 16S ribosomal RNA". It matches the Rfam family "Bacterial small subunit ribosomal RNA", at positions 355 to 776 of the family's 1533-position model. Lineage: Bacteria; Pseudomonadati; Acidobacteriota. The record is from RNAcentral.
UGGGGAAUUUUGGACAAUGGGGGAAACCCUGAUCCAGCCAUCCCGCGUGUGCGAUGAAGGCCUUCGGGUUGUAAAGCACUUUUGGCAGGAAAGAAACGUCAUGGGUUAAUACCCCGUGAAACUGACGGUACCUGCAGCAUAAGCACCGGCUAACUACGUGCCAGCAGCCGCGGUAAUACGUAGUGUGCAAGCGUUAAUCGGAAUUACUGGGCGUAAAGCGUGCGCAGGCGGUUCGGAAAGAAAGAUGUGAAAUCCCAGAGCUCAACUUUGGAACUGCAUUUUUAACUACAGGGCUAGAGUGUGUCAGAGGGAGGGGGAAUUCCGCGUGUAGCAGUCAAAUGCGUAGAUAUGCGGAGGAACACAGAUGGCGAAGGCAACCUCCUGAAAUAAAACUGAAACUAAUGCAAGAAAGCGUGGGGAGCAAACAGG